Molecule: long non-coding RNA, 535 nt
Filed under: Anser brachyrhynchus (Pink-footed goose)
Lineage: Eukaryota; Metazoa; Chordata; Aves; Anseriformes; Anatidae
Description: lncRNA (ENSABRG00000011184.1)
Source: RNAcentral
AUACAAAUAAGAAACACCACAAAUAUUAAGAAUAACUUUGAUCUUGCAGGAUUGGCAAUUCACCCUCUGGACUAAAGAUGCUUGACGAAGGUUGGCUAAGGAAGCACGCAUAUGUGAAAUUUUGCUGUUUAAUAAUGUCACCUGGAGGGUGUCUCAUUGCUUGCUGAAAUCAGUGGAAAGUGUGUCAUUGAAUGGCAUCUUCAGGAAGUUCAUGCAGGCCACUGCAUCUCAUCCUUUUACAGGAUAACUCCUUCUGCUCUGGAAUAGAAGAGGUGAAAAACCUGAAGGCCAUGUAUAAUUUGGACAUCCCUUAAAGACCUCAGUGUUUUUGAUCUGUGGUUUGGGAGCUUUACUUGUUCCUGUUCCAUGUUUAUUGAAUUUUGAAAUACAUAUAUGUCCCACAGGUGGACAUGUUUGGUAUCAGACUCUAACCUCAAUAUAUUUUCUCUUACUCUUUAUUUUUUACUUUUUUUUUCUUUUUUUCUUCUGCGGAUUUGGGAAUAAAUGAUUAUAUUUUUACGUUAAGUACUUUUAA